ACUUGUAAAAUUAGUAAUUUGAUUUGAAAUCAUUUUUGUUGUUUUUGUUAACAAUGCAAGUU
RNAcentral lists this transfer RNA (62 nucleotides) under Mesocestoides corti. Its description in RNAcentral is "tRNA-Ser". The record is from RNAcentral. Lineage: Eukaryota; Metazoa; Platyhelminthes; Cestoda; Cyclophyllidea; Mesocestoididae. RNAcentral also lists the same sequence under 1 other name.